This 427-nucleotide ribosomal RNA is filed under the name uncultured prokaryote. RNAcentral describes it as "bacterial SSU rRNA". It matches the Rfam family "Bacterial small subunit ribosomal RNA", at positions 355 to 774 of the family's 1533-position model. The record is from RNAcentral.
UAGGGAAUCUUCGGCAAUGGGCGAAAGCCUGACCGAGCAACGCCGCGUGAAUGAUGAAGGCCUUCGGGUUGUAAAAUUCUGUUAUAAGGGCAGAACGACUUUAGUAGGAAAUGGCUAGAGUGUGACGGUACCUUAUGAGAAAGCCACGGCUAACUACGUGCCAGCAGCCGCGGUAAUCCGUAGGUGGCGAGCGUUAUCCGGAAUUAUUGGGCGUAAAGAGCGCGCAGGUGGUUGAUUAAGUCUGAUGUGAAAGCCCACGGCUUAACCGUGGAGGGUCAUUGGAAACUGGUCGACUUGAGUGCAGGAGAGGGAAGUGGAAUUCCAUGUGUAGCGGUGAAAUGCGUAGAGAUAUGGAGGAACACCAGUGGCGAAGGUUGCUUCCUGGUCUGUAACUGACACUGGGGCGCGAAAGCGUGGGGAGCAAACA